Molecule: long non-coding RNA, 261 nt
Filed under: Bos taurus (domestic cattle)
Lineage: Eukaryota; Metazoa; Chordata; Mammalia; Artiodactyla; Bovidae
Description: long non-coding RNA NONBTAT023969
Source: RNAcentral
AUAAUUUAGUUUACUUCUGAAUAUUUUAAAUAUAAUGAAAACAAAUAUAACAGUUUUGUUUUCAAAACUCUCUUGAGGUAUCAACCAUUAAAAGAUAGGGGUUUUGUAAAAAAAAAAAAAAACACACAGUGGUUUAUUGAAUACUUACAACGUUUACACCUUCAAUAUUAAUUCCACUUAAUUUUAGAGGACGGAAGUGCACAAAACAAGGAGCUGUUGGAAACAUCUUCAAAGUGGGAACCACAUCAGGUGGAAAUGUGG